RNAcentral lists this long non-coding RNA (310 nucleotides) under Carica papaya (papaya). RNAcentral describes it as "long non-coding RNA (CPAP_LNC005325)". Lineage: Eukaryota; Viridiplantae; Streptophyta; Magnoliopsida; Brassicales; Caricaceae. The record is from RNAcentral.
GAAUGUAGUCUUGAACCAGCCAUGCUUUUGCACUAAUUUUAGGCCAUGUUAUGGGCCAAAAUGAUUGUCCUGAUCAACCCAAUAUGAUCCAUUAGCCCUUAUUGGCCCAUGAUCUGAAAUGGUCAUGAAAUUUACAAUUCUGGACUUCGCAUUGUGGGCUUGGAGAAUUCUAGUGAAAGACUUGUGCUAAUCGAAUUCUUCAAGGCUUCUUGCAUUUUCUUUCUUCUUGAACAUGUCAUUGGACCAGCAAUGUUGAUCAAAUUAUCAUCUUCACAAACUUGAGCUUCCUGAUUAGCAACAUUUGAGCUUU